UACAGAGGUCCCGAGCGUUGUUCGGAUUCACUGGGCGUAAAGGGUGCGUAGGUGGUCUGGUAAGUUGGGUGUGAAAGCUCGGAGCUCAACUCCGAAAUGGCAUUCAAAACUACCGGGCUAGAGGGUCGGAAGGGAGACUGGAAUUCUCGGUGUAGCGGUGAAAUGCGUAGAUAUCGAGAGGAACACCAGUGGCGAAAGCGAGUCUCUGGACGACACCUGACACUGAGGCACGAAAGCUAGGGGAGCAAACAGG
Molecule: ribosomal RNA, 253 nt
Filed under: uncultured bacterium
Lineage: Bacteria
Description: partial 16S ribosomal RNA
Rfam family: Bacterial small subunit ribosomal RNA
Source: RNAcentral